This 703-nucleotide long non-coding RNA is filed under the name Numida meleagris (helmeted guineafowl). RNAcentral describes it as "lncRNA (ENSNMEG00000000683.1)". The record is from RNAcentral. Lineage: Eukaryota; Metazoa; Chordata; Aves; Galliformes; Numididae.
GAUUUUGGGGCCAUUUUCAUCCCAAUUUUGGGGCCAUUUUCAUCCCAAUUUUGGGGCCAUUUUCAUCCCAAUUUUGGGGCCAUUUUCAAUGGGAUUUUGGGUCCAAUCUCAGCGAUUUUGGGGCCAUUUUCAGUGGGAUUUUGGGGCCAUUUUCAAUGGGAUUUUGGGGCCAAUCUCAGCGAUUUGGGGGCCACUUUCAACCCAAAUUUGGUGCCAUUUUCAAUGGGAUUUUGGGGCCAUUUUCAAUGGGAUUUUGGGUCCAUUCUGAGUAGAUUUUGGGCCAUUUUCACCAUGAUUUUGGGGCCAUUUUCAGUGGGAUUUUGGGUCCAAUCUCAGCGAUUUCAGGGCCAUUUUCAACCCGAUUUUGGUGCUAUUUUCAAUGGGAUUUUGGCCAUUUUUGCCACAAUUUGGGGCCAAUUGUGAGCGGACCGGUGCCCCUCACCGCAGGGCGCGGCUCAGCUUGUCGUAGUUCAUGUGGGGCUUGCACUUGCGCGCGCCCCACAGCCGCGCCACCUCGUCGGGGUCCUUGAUGACGAACUCGCCGUAGUCGCCCUGCCAGGCGAUGACGUGCCGGUAGCGCUCCUGGCGCAGCAGCUCCAGGAUGAAGUGCCACAGCUGGAUCUGCCGCGAGCCGGGGCUCGACUCCGCCUUGUACGCCCACUCCGGGAACGCCAGCCCUAUGGGGAGGGCAGAUGUGGGGCUG